GCCUAGCACAAGAGAGUUUGAAAUCCUUGGAGAAUUUUGGAAGCAAGUUCUCAAUGUCUCUUUUCCUGAGAGAACAAUCAAAGUCCAUGUUGCAAGAGCUCAAUCAUGUGCCAUUCCCUUAAGAGUCUGAAGGCUGUUGAGAUUGGGAAACCCUGCCCUGCUCCCUUCUCAAAUCCUGAGUGAUCCCACAGGAUGAGUGUCAGUGGGAGGAAGGAGCAUUUAGCUGUCAGUUUUAUUCCUGUGUGCAAUGCCAGAGUGUCCUUCCGUGUGCUCUGUGCAGCCCCAGAGAAGAGCAGAGAGGGAAGGGGCCGAGCCCAGGGCUGUGUCCUGGCGCUGAGCCUUGGGUGCAGCCUGAGGAUCUCCUACAGUGUCACAGGAGCUGUUCUGCCCUGCCUUUCUUUGCAGAUAACCCUGCUGGUGAAAGUGAUCUGGCUUCCCAACCCACGUUCAGGAUGGAGGCUCUGGGAGAUGCUGAGGAAAUGGACCAAACAUCUCUGCAGAAGGAGGCACAUCCCGGAGGAAGCAGUGGCUCAGUGCCAACCUCUGCUGCAGGAAGGAAGGCGAUGCCAGGCACGGCCACAGGCACAGGAGAUGCUGCCGGCCCCACAACACCUGUUCCCGAUGCCCAGAACAGCCUCAGAAGUGGUUGCUAUUGGGAAACACACUGUUUGCUACAGUUAAUUGCAGGUCUGCUUUUUUUGGAGCUUUCCUUCAUGUUCACCUGUGUUGGAAUCUGGUGUUACUGCAAGAGAAAACGGUGAGUGUUUUCAUCAUCUUUCCCUCAAACAGUUUCUUUUAAAAGUCUAAUGUAGAUGGGAAACAUUUCCAGUCAGGCUGCAGUGGAGCUGUGGCCAGUCCAUGGCUGUCCAAAGAACUCAGCUGAGGGUUCUGCUGUGCCCAGUGCUUUCCUUGGCCCCUUCAUUGCUGGGCCUUGUCCUGGGGCCCGCUGGGGCUGCAGCCAGUGCUGGCUCCCACUGAGGCUGCCUGGGCACGAGCAGCCCCAGGGGCACAGGGCAGAGGCACAGCAAGGUGGGGAGGAGAAAGAGCGGGGACGAGAUCGCCCCUGAAAGGCAGAGGCGCUCUGGGGCCCGCUCCUGGCCAGGGAGCCUGCCCAGAGCCGUCCCCUGCUCGCCGGGGCCUUGAGGGGCAGCUGUCCAGCUGGGCCAAGGUGUGCCAGCCGCUCCAGCCGUGCUGGGGAGCCCUGCCAGCUCUGGGCCCUGCUGUGCAGGAGGCUCCCUGUGUGCCGCUGGCAGCUGGGGCCUCAGCCACUCCUCUCUCCACAGCAGCGCCUCUGCAGCUUCACAAGACCAGAUGACUUCAGCCAUGCAGAUCUGUUCCUGUCAUCAGCCUUCCCCAAGCCAGUUUCCAACAUGCCUUCCACAGCUGCAUUACCCACUUACUGCUGGGGACAUGCUGCCACCACCCAUAACAGAACCCUCUGUCCCCAAAGGUGCUGGCCCUGGUGUCCAGCCAGGACAGGAGGUGCAGCCCUCCUGCCAGGGUAGGGCCUGACUCCAGCAGCAUCUUUGGGCUUCAGCUCUGGUCCCUGGGUGCUCCCACCAGCACUGGCAGAGCUGCUUGUCUGGGCACAGCCAGUGCUGGGCAGGCAGCAGCUGGGCUUCGGGCACCUGAGACCAGCAGCUACUGUGUUUAGUUUUCAUUUUGCAGGAUUUAGGAAUAUUUUUCAUAGAAAAUUCUCCAAAUAUUUUGUCCCUUUUCCCACAACAGUUCUAUAUUUUUCAAAGUAGUUUUAGUAUUCAGAAAAACUUAGAAUAUUUUUACACUUCUAGAAUAAAAAUAUAAAAUGCAUUGAAUUGCUAGUCUAUGCUCUACUAAAAACUAAGUCACUCUAUGACUCACAGCCUGCUUCAGAGGCUCUUUUCCCACCGGAGACUUGUGCCUAAUCACAACAACUAACCUAAAACCUUUUCCCUGAUGUUUUCUGGGAUUCCUGACAAGCUCACCUCUCAGUCUUCAGAGGCAAACCUUGAGCACAGCAGGAAUCUCUUCAAGUCACCAUCUUUGUUUGCUUCUGCACAAAGUGCCUCAGUCAUAGAGCAGGGGCUUUGCUCAGCUUCCUGCCGCCCUGCUCCCCCCAAGGCUGUCCUGAGCCCUCUGCUGCAGCUGCUGUGCUGCCAUGGAGCUGCUGUAAAACACAACAGCUCUGCCACACGCGCUCAGCAGGACUGGAGAAGCUUUCUGGCCUUGCUUACAUUAGGCUGGUGGCUUCUCUAAACACAAGUUGAGCUUUUGAACGCUAUGUCUCACCUGGCACAGGAACUGAUGCUGCCUUUCUCAUGGAGGCUAAACUCCCAUGGGCUUUAAAAGUUUUCUGGCCAGCAUAAGGCCUGGAAAACCAUUUAAUGCAGCCAUUUAGUAUUGAAAAUGGCCCAGUCUAUGUAUCAAAGUAGCUUGUUUAAAUGCUGGAGCCCACCAGAGCAUCCCUCCAGGGCAUAUCUGUCUCUCCCCCACCUCUGCCUCCAUGACUGCCAAACUGCACCUUUGAGAGUUCUCUUCUCCAGAAGCUGAAUGGCACCUUUUUAUUUGGGGGAGGAAAAAAAAAAAGGAAAUGUUCUAUGCUACUAUCAUCAUCAUCACAAUAAUGAGCUGCAAAUUAGUUAAAUGACAUCAACAACUCAGACUGUGGACUUAGUUCUCAGAGUGCAGCACUGGCUUUACUAUCCCUUGAAACUGCAGACGUGCUACAGUCUUUAAAAUCCGUUUCAUGCUUACCUAAUUUGGAGUCAAGCACAGCUCUGUGAGAGCUUUAGGGGUUGGGCCUACCCUGGCACUCUCGAGGUGUCUGGAGUGACCUGCCCAAGCCAUCUGCCACCUGAAGAGCAAAGCAGGGUAUGGAAAAGCACAGGCUGCAGAACAGCUCGAACUGCAGGGAGCCCAUUCCUGUCAGGAGUAACACGACCAUCCCACCUUAGGACUGGGUUUUGUGAGAAACAACUGCACACUUUAAAAGUUUUAAAACGUUUAUUAGACAUUUACAAAAACAUAAGAGAAGGACUCAUAAGGAAGAACAGGCCUGGGAAGGCCCCCUGCCCCAUGGCUGCUACCUGCCAGGUGGCUGCCUCAUCUUCAAGAUUGAUGCUUCACCUUUUACAUUCCUGGAGGGUGCAUCAGCCACCCCUGGGCCCUCCCAAAGUCUGUCAGUCAACCCUUCUUUGCCGUUUAUUGGUGGAAUUUAUUUCUUGUAGCUGCGUUUGAAGGUCAGGUGUUGUCAUGCCGUGUCCCCCCAGCAACAAGCUUUUCCAUUCCUACUCUCCCAUGCAAGGGGUAUAUGUCGAUACCUAUUGUGGUGGACCCCCACUGCAGGGAAUGACGUGCAUUGACUCCAUGUUUGCAGAAGGCUGAACAAAAGCUUUAUUAAGCUGUCCUAUAUUAUACUAUACUAAAAAC
Taeniopygia guttata (zebra finch) is the source of this 3408-nucleotide non-coding RNA. The record is from RefSeq and is a predicted model, not a curated record. NCBI's taxonomy places the organism in Eukaryota, Metazoa, Chordata, Aves, Passeriformes, Estrildidae.